Molecule: ribosomal RNA, 484 nt
Filed under: uncultured bacterium
Lineage: Bacteria
Description: partial 16S ribosomal RNA
Rfam family: Bacterial small subunit ribosomal RNA
Source: RNAcentral
AUUGAACGCUGGCGGCAGGCCUAACACAUGCAAGUCGAGCGGAUGAAGGGAGCUUGCUCCUGGAUUCAGCGGCGGACGGGUGAGUAAUGCCUAGGAAUCUGCCUGGUAGUGGGGGAUAACGUCCGGAAACGGGCGCUAAUACCGCAUACGUCCUGAGGGAGAAAGUGGGGGUUCUUCGGACCUCACGCUAUUUGCUGAGCCUAGGUCGGAUUAGCUAGUUGGUGGGGUAAAGGCCUACCAAGGCGACGAUCCGUAACUGGUCUGAGAGGAUGAUCAGUCACACUGGAACUGAGACACGGUCCAGACUCCUACGGGAGGCAGCAGUGGGGAAUAUUGGACAAUGGGCGAAAGCCUGAUCCAGCCAUGCCGCGUGUGUGAAGAAGGUCUUCGGAUUGUAAAGCACUUUAAGUUGGGAGGAAGGGCAGUAAGUUAAUACCUUGCUGUUUUGACGUUACCAACAGAAUAAGCACCGGCUAACUUCGUG